RNAcentral lists this transfer RNA (66 nucleotides) under Anthalia sp. YD3030. Its description in RNAcentral is "tRNA-Gly". The record is from RNAcentral. Lineage: Eukaryota; Metazoa; Arthropoda; Insecta; Diptera; Hybotidae.
AUUAAUAUAAUAUAAACAGUAUAUUUGACUUCCAAUCAAAAAGUCUAUAAAAUUAUAGUAUUAAUA